CAUGCAGGCGGUUUUUUAAGUCGGACGUGAAAGCUCCUGGCUCAACUGGGAGAGGCCGUUCGAGACUGGAAGACUUGAGAGUGGUAGAGGAGAGUGGAAUUCCCGGUGUAGUGGUGAAAUGCGUAGAUAUCGGGAGGAACACCAGUGGCGAAAGCGGCUCUCUGGACCAACUCUGACGCUCAGAUGCGAAAGCUAGGGGAGAGAACAGGAUUAGAUACCCUGGUAGUCC
This 229-nucleotide ribosomal RNA is filed under the name uncultured bacterium. RNAcentral describes it as "partial 16S ribosomal RNA". It matches the Rfam family "Bacterial small subunit ribosomal RNA", at positions 568 to 796 of the family's 1533-position model. The record is from RNAcentral.